AAGGAGUCUAACAUAUAUGCGAGUCUUUGGGUGUCAAACCCUUAUGCGCAAUGAAAGUGAGUACGAGUGGGAUCCCGCAAGGGCGCACCAUUGACCGAUCUUGAUUUCUCUUGAUAGAUUCGCGUUAGAGCCUAUCUGUUGGGACCCGAAAGAUGGUGAACUAGGCCUGGAUAGGAUGAAGCCAGAGGAAACUCUGGUGGAGGUCCGAAGCAGUACUGACGUGCAAAUCGAUGGUCAAAACUGGGUAGAGGGGCGAAAGACUAAUCGAACCAUAUAGUAGCAGGUUCCC
This 289-nucleotide unclassified non-coding RNA is filed under the name uncultured fungus. Its description in RNAcentral is "partial contains 5.8S rRNA, ITS2 and 28S rRNA". It matches the Rfam family "Eukaryotic large subunit ribosomal RNA", at positions 668 to 959 of the family's 3401-position model. The record is from RNAcentral. Lineage: Eukaryota; Fungi.